RNAcentral lists this non-coding RNA (65 nucleotides) under bovine gut metagenome. Its description in RNAcentral is "Glycine riboswitch". It matches the Rfam family "Glycine riboswitch aptamer", at positions 9 to 86 of the family's 94-position model. Rfam says of the family: This family represents the bacterial glycine riboswitch. Glycine riboswitches usually consist of two metabolite-binding aptamers domains with similar structures in tandem. The aptamers cooperatively bind glycine to regulate the expression of downstream genes. The record is from RNAcentral.
ACCGGGAGAGACCGCUUUUUGCGGCGCCGAAGGGGCUGAAGAACUCUCAGGCAAAAGGACCGGUU